AGCUCCAAUAGCAUAUAUUAAAGUUGUUGCGGUUAAAAAGCUCGUAGUUGACCUUCAGUUCUGGACUGACGGUGCACCGCCCGGUGUCCACCCGUCACGCUCCGAACGGAUGAUAUACCCGGCCGGCCGUCACGGGGUGCUCUUCACCGAGUGUCCCGCGUGGCCGGCAUGUUUACUUUGAAAAAAUUAGAGUGCUCAAAGCAGGCUACGUGAAUGGCCUGAAUGGUGAUGCAUGGAAUAAUGGAAUAGGACCUCGGUUCUAUUUUAUUGGUUUUCUGAACCCGAGGUAAUGACUAAUAGAAACAGGCGGGGGCAUUCGUACUGCGACGCUAGAGGUGAAAUUCUUGGACCGUCGCAAGACGAACUACUGCGAAAGCAUUUGCCAAGGAUGUUUUCA
RNAcentral lists this ribosomal RNA (397 nucleotides) under uncultured eukaryote. Its description in RNAcentral is "SSU rRNA". It matches the Rfam family "Eukaryotic small subunit ribosomal RNA", at positions 587 to 972 of the family's 1831-position model. The record is from RNAcentral.